Molecule: long non-coding RNA, 488 nt
Organism: Mytilus californianus (California mussel)
Lineage: Eukaryota; Metazoa; Mollusca; Bivalvia; Mytilida; Mytilidae
Exons: 4
Source: RefSeq, a predicted model, not a curated record
UACAGCAGCGUCAUAUAAAGAACAGCGUAAAGCUAGUAUCAGUCAAUUCAACGGGAGUAAAACGGCAAUACUUUCUUACGAUGUGUAGAAGAACAGAAAAAGUAAUAUUAUUAUUUGUAUUAAUCACAGUACUGACUGGUGUAUCAAGAUCAUAUCCAGCGAUGGACAACAGUGCGUAUGACGUCAUAUCGGGAGAUGCAGAGUUAUAUGGACUUGAUAAAAGAUAUAAAUGGAAAUGCAACGGUUGGUUUAAAUGGAGAUGUGGAAAUUCCAAAAUGGUUCACAGAGAAAUUCGAAACAUAGACUCAGAUUAAUGUUUUUGUUAUUAUAACUAUAUGAAGCCAUCGCUCUCUACAAUUUACAUGCUCUAACGUCAUUUGAUAUCAUACUAAAUCCUGCUACAUUUGUACUUAAAGAACUAUGUAAUAUAUCAUUGUUAUAUCUCUGUAUUGUCUCUGACUUUCUACCUGAAUAAAACAUAUCUUAUA